RNAcentral lists this ribosomal RNA (290 nucleotides) under Escherichia coli. RNAcentral's name for it is "partial 16S ribosomal RNA". It matches the Rfam family "Bacterial small subunit ribosomal RNA", at positions 1 to 285 of the family's 1533-position model. The record is from RNAcentral. Lineage: Bacteria; Pseudomonadati; Pseudomonadota; Gammaproteobacteria; Enterobacterales; Enterobacteriaceae.
UUAAAUUGAAGAGUUUGAUCAUGGCUCAGAUUGAACGCUGGCGGCAGGCCUAACACAUGCAAGUCGAACGGUAACAGGAAACAGCUUGCUGUUUCGCUGACGAGUGGCGGACGGGUGAGUAAUGUCUGGGAAACUGCCUGAUGGAGGGGGAUAACUACUGGAAACGGUAGCUAAUACCGCAUAACGUCGCAAGACCAAAGAGGGGGACCUUCGGGCCUCUUGCCAUCGGAUGUGCCCAGAUGGGAUUAGCUAGUAGGUGGGGUAACGGCUCACCUAGGCGACGAUCCCUA